RNAcentral lists this ribosomal RNA (261 nucleotides) under Entransia fimbriata. RNAcentral describes it as "partial 26S ribosomal RNA". It matches the Rfam family "Eukaryotic large subunit ribosomal RNA", at positions 99 to 358 of the family's 3401-position model. The record is from RNAcentral. Lineage: Eukaryota; Viridiplantae; Streptophyta; Klebsormidiophyceae; Entransiales; Entransiaceae.
CGGGAAGAGCCCAACUUGAAAAUCUGGCGGCCUUGUCGCCCGAAUUGUAGUCUAAAGAAGCGUCCUCUGCAGCGGAUCGGGCCCAAGUUCCCUGGAACGGGACGUCAGAGAGGGUGAGAACCCCGUCGACCCCGGAGCCUGCUGCUCCACGAGGCGCUGUCGCAGAGUCGGGUUGUUUGGGAAUGCAGCCCUAAGUGGGUGGUAAAUUCCAUCUAAGGCUAAAUGCAGACGAGAGACCGAUAGUGAACAAGUACCGUGAGG